This is a non-coding RNA of Cyanistes caeruleus (blue tit), 2736 nucleotides long. The record is from RefSeq and is a predicted model, not a curated record. NCBI's taxonomy places the organism in Eukaryota, Metazoa, Chordata, Aves, Passeriformes, Paridae.
GCCCGGGGGGCGCGGGCAGGAAAGGGCGCUGAGCUGGGCCGUGCUCAACGGGGAGCCGCUGUGCAGCAGGCCGGUCGUCACAGAAUCACCUAGGUUGGGAAAGACCUCCGAGAGUAUCGCGUCCAACCUAGGAGCGAUCACUACCGUGUAACUAGACCAGGGCACUGAGUGCUAUGUCCAGGCUUUCCUUAAACACCUCCGAGGACGGUGACUCCACCACCUUCCCGGGAGACCAUUUCAGUGCCCGGUCGCUCUUUCUGUUAAGAAACUCCACCCUGCACCUCCCCAGGCGCAGUUUGACGUCGUUUUCCUUUAUCCUGCAGCAGGUUGCCGGGGAGAGGCGGCCGGCCCCCACAGGGAUACAGCCCCGGUCAGGGAAUUGUAGAGGGCAAGGUCGCCCCUGAGCCUCCCUCUUUUCUCCCUAAGCACCCCCAGCUCCCGUAGCUGCUCUCACAGGACUUCUGCUCCAGACCCUUCACCAGCUUCAUUGCCUUGCGUUGGACACACUCCAGCAUCUCCAUGAAUUGAGGGGCCCAGAACUGGACACAGGACUCGAUGUGUGGCCUCACCACUGCAGGGGAAGAAUCUCUUCCCUGGUCCUGCUGGUCACACUAUUAAUGAUAAGGCACACUCGAGAGAGACACUGAGUAUUUUUGUCAGAGUUGCACUCGGUCCUCGGCAGUGUUCCACAAAUCAAGCACAGCAACUACCUUUUUACUUUGUAUUAUAGUAAACAGAGGCGUUAAUGUGUGAAUGCAUGCUGCAGUACCACAUGAGCACAGGUUUUGGGGCAUAGCAUGCCUUGAGAUAACACCAUUGUAUAACUAGUUCUUGCUUCAUUGUUGCUCGUGAAUCAAGUUCUUGAAAAAUCAUUCAAUAUUGACUGAAAGCCAGAGAAACAAAAGGUUUGUGCGCUGGAGCUCCGAGGAAGCUGUGAAAAAGCUCACAAAAUUGAAGAUGGGGAAUUGUUUACCUUGCAAGAGAGAUGCAUGGGAGGAUGACAUGAAUAAAAUUACAGUUACAAAUGGAAGUUCUGCUGUUUGUGUACCACAGGAGCAUGAGAACAUUCCAUGGCAAAAAAAAAGCCAACAAAACAACAUCAUAGCAUAAAGUCUUUCCUUUAAAGGAAGAAACUUGGUUUUGUCUUAGACUUUUGGUUCUUCACUUGCUUUAGUCUCUAGACUUUUGCCAAGACUGCUUUGCUUAUCAGGCUUGCUGACACAGUGGAUAAUCAGUCUGUAAAACUUGCUGCCAUAGGAAGUUCUUGGGGCAAAAUGAGGCCACUCGCCCUAGAAGGGUUCAAAGAAAGAUAGGACAUUUUGGAAAACCAUAAAACUUUGUACAGUUAACAUAAACAAAAUGUCCUGGAAGGAAAAGACUUCCUGCUUUGUACUUUAACCUGAGGUCUCACUUUUAGACACCGAGACAAACAAUUUAUAGAGACUGGCAGUCGGACAUCUGGUCUGUUAGGGACGAGCAUGGUAUUGGAGGCAGCUAAGGAAAAUAGGAUCCUGUAGUUUAUUCCAAUUUUUUACAGACUUUUAAGGUUACUGUUUUUUUACGUGCAAUUCCUUAUCAUAGCUUGUUCCUGGAAUAGCACUAAAAUUAUAUUUCAAGAUGGGUAGAUCUCUGGGAGAGAAUGAAGGAAGCAGAGUACCUUGAACUUAUUCUGCUUUUUUUGUUGUUAUUAUUGUUGUGAUUAUUGUAUUUAUUUUCUAUUUGAGGAUAAAAUAAAUAAAGAAACAAGACCAUAAUCAGUUGCUUAAUGAACAAAACCUUCAUAUGCUGAUCAUUAUUUCAGCACAGAUGUCUGUAACUCAAAUUCUGUCAAUCUGCCCAUGCAACUCUGUUCUUGAAUUGCUGAGAACAACUGUGUGGGUGGAUGUAGAACAUAAAAUUGCCAUGUGCACUUAUGUUUUGUUUAUGCAGUACUCAUUUUUAAGAGUACUAGAUUGGAUUUGCUUAAUAUUUGCUUUGUGUGUGUGUAUACAUAAUAUUUACAAACCCCCAAACUAGGAGAUGAUGACCAAGAUAAACUCUAUUAAUGCAAGAUGCUGAUAUUGUGAACAUGUUUCAUUUGAUUUAUCAACUGAAAGAAAUAAAUUAAAUCUAUACACAGACUAAGGUGGUAGUUACCUCUAAAACUUGUACCUCAAUUUAUUGCUGCUUUAUCACCCAUAUGUACUCCAUACAGCAGAGAUGACUUAGAAAUAGGCUUCUACUGACAACUAAGAGAUUACUCUUUCAUAGAUCUGUCAUUACUGAAAAUUAAUAAAAAUUGUAGAGUAUUUUAAAAUAGUAAUGGACCUAAAAUAUUAACUGAAAUUUAACCCAAGUUUUUACUUUCUCAUAACAGAAUUCUUGUUUUUUUUUUUUAAAGAAGAUGGGAUUAGGGAGGCAGCCAUUUAUAUCUUCUCUAUAAAUCUAGAAAUAAUUCUGUAUUUCACUUCAGUUUCCUGGGCACUUUCUUUUGAGAUAAGGUUUCUACAUGUGAAAUACUUCAUAGCAAUAGUUACUAGCAAUUUUGGCAAUAAUGACAUUGUGUUCACUGUUGUAUGAUGGGGGGUCAGGGGUAAUUUUUAAGGUGUCGAAUCUUAUCUGGGGGUAUCUACCUCUUGUUACAUACAUAUAGUAUUUUUUUCAGAUUCCCAUGCAGAACUUGUCUGAGAAAGUAAAAUAAGAAAUUGAAAACUUUAUGAUGUCAUUAUAAUAAAGCCUAAAGAAUGAAUUACACUU